CAGUCGUACCGACGAGAAAUCAACUUAUCGUGUGCGAACUUGUGGGCGUGCGUGAGUUUCGGCCUCGCUGUUUGCAUGUUUGUGCGCUUUGGGUGUACUUUUUCGUAUGGUAGGCCAACGUCAGUUUCGAUUAUCAUAAAAUGACCGGCGGAAUGUAGCUUCGAUUUCGGUUGAAGUGUUAUAGCCUCUGGUAGAUGUGGUGAUUGGGACUGAGGAUUGCAACGAAUACCCUUUGGGCUAUCCGUCUGGCCUCUGAAAGUUGCUCAGGUGCCGAAAGCGUGCUUACGGUCAUCUAAGAUAACGUUCAACAGGCUAGAACGUGAUUACA
This 328-nucleotide ribosomal RNA is filed under the name uncultured Glomeraceae. RNAcentral describes it as "partial large subunit ribosomal RNA". Lineage: Eukaryota; Fungi; Glomeromycota; Glomeromycetes; Glomerales; Glomeraceae. The record is from RNAcentral.